GUGAAUCAUCAAAUCUUUGAACGCAAAUUGCACUCUCCGGUUUUCCGGGAGAGUAUGCCAGUUUGGGGGUAUGUUUAAAAAAUAAUCGUGGCUGAUGCUGUGGUGGCGAAUCGUAAUUGGGUCAUCUUCCACCUUUCGGGGUUGUAAGCGACCUAAAAUUUUUCUUACGAUUUCUACGAACGUACCUAAGAAUUUUUCUUGUAUGUUCGAGACAUCGAAAUCAUUUUAGGGACGUGCGCCGCGUCU
Molecule: unclassified non-coding RNA, 246 nt
Filed under: Glomus sp.
Lineage: Eukaryota; Fungi; Glomeromycota; Glomeromycetes; Glomerales; Glomeraceae
Description: partial contains 5.8S ribosomal RNA and internal transcribed spacer 2
Rfam family: 5.8S ribosomal RNA (bases 1-72)
Source: RNAcentral